RNAcentral lists this long non-coding RNA (1019 nucleotides) under Marmota monax (woodchuck). The record is from RNAcentral. Lineage: Eukaryota; Metazoa; Chordata; Mammalia; Rodentia; Sciuridae.
GCACUGCCGCUGCCACCGCGCUCCUGCUGGUCAUGGACAACGUUCCAGCACAAGGAUGGGCGUGCUAGGGUGCCCUGUCCCCUGCUGGCUGGGCACCCCCAUGUGUCCAGCUCCGCUGCUCUGUGCUGCCCUUCACUCUGUAGUUCUGCUCACCUCCUGGGUGGCCGCCCAGGGGUGCUGCUGGGCCAUCGUCCCCCUCCCAAGCUGGUUAGUGGGUGGAAGACAGGAGCAGCUGGCAGCUGCCGCCCCUCCCCUGGGAAAGCAGCAGAGGUGGCCUCAGCUCCAGGCCACCGGCCCUGUCACUCUGCUGCUCAGCCUCUGGAGACCAGCCCUGGCCUCCCAAGAGAGGCUGGAAAGCAGAGGAGGUGCGGUCAGCCCGCGCCACCCCCGACCCCUCGGCCCGGGCCCCCAGUGCUGAUUCACCAGCUGCUGGAAACUUCUCUGGCCGUGCUCCGCUGCUGCCCUGGUCUUGACCUCAGCAUGUGACCGGCACAAGGCUGGCGGAGGCCCCACUGCCAGGUCUCUGGAGGGCCAUGAUGCGGGGAGCUGCCAGGGUCUGCACAGUGGCCUGCAGUGGCACAGCCCUCUGCCUCCGCCCAGCCUACACCUGUCCCCUGGGCUGGCCAGGCCAUCUGCUGAGACUCCUGGGAACAGAACCUGGCCAGCACACCGUCCACCCAGUGUCCUCCUCAGCCCCUGCUGCCCACAGGUGCUGAGAAGCCAGCCUUCUGGUCACUUGUCCACCAGGAGACAAAGGCCCCCUGGCACAGAAGGGCAGCCAGGUGGAGGCUGUGUUGGUCUCCGAGGCUGUGACCAAGCGAGGGUGACAGCACAGGGUGUCCUCUGGGUGACUCCAGAGCCCCUGCGGUCGCCCUCUACACAGUGCUCCUCUCCACCGAGCUCUGACCUCCUGUCCCUGGGUAUCAGACUCCAGGGACCUCCCGGGUGGGCCCUGCAGCAUGUCCUUCUGUCUGGCCCCAGGUCCCCUGGCCACCCACACUGUGCUGUGUGGAGCCUUG